UUCCCUUAGUAACUGCGAGUGAAGAGGGAAGAGCUCAAAUUUAAAAUCGGGCAUCUGUCCGAGUUGUAAAUUAGAGAAGUGUUAUCUGCGCUGAACUGUGCAUAAGUCUCUUGGAAAAGGGCAUCAUAGAGGGUGACAAUCCCGUCUUUGGCACAGACUCUCAGGGCUUUGUGAUGCACUCUCAAUGAGUCGAGUUGUUUGGGAAUGCAGCUCUAAAUGGGUGGUAAAUUCCAUCUAAAGCUAAAUAUUGGCGAGAAACCGAUAGCGCACAAGUACCGUGAGGGAAAGAUGAAAAGUACUUUGAAAAGAGAGUUAAACAGUACGUGAAAUUGUUGAAAGGGAAACACUUGAAGUCAGACAUGUCCUUCAGAAAUCAACCUGACCGUCAGGUCUGGUGCACUUUCUGUUUGGAUGGGUCAGCAUCAAUUUUGAUCAUUGGACAAAGGUUAAGGGAAAGUGGCAUCUUUGGAUGUGUUAUAGCCCUUGGUCAUAUACAAUGGUUGGGAUUGAGGAUUGCAGUGCUUUCGGGUACUAAGGAUGCUGGCAUAAUGGCUUUAAUUGACCCGUCUUGAAACACGGACCAAGGAGUCUAACAUACAUGCGAGUGUUUGAGUGGAAAACUCAGACGCACAAUGAAAGUGAAAGUUGAGAACCCUGUCAUGGGGUGCAUCGACGCCCGGACCUGACCUUUUGUGAUGGACCUGCGGUAGAGCAUGCAUGUUGGGACCCGAAAGAUGGUGAACUAUGCCUGAAUAGGGUGAAGCCAGAGGAAACUCUGGUGGAAGCUCGUAGCGAUUCUGACGUGCAAAUCGAUCGUCAAAUUUGGGUAUAGGGGCGAAAGACU
RNAcentral lists this ribosomal RNA (844 nucleotides) under uncultured fungus. RNAcentral's name for it is "eukaryotic LSU rRNA". It matches the Rfam family "Eukaryotic large subunit ribosomal RNA", at positions 75 to 932 of the family's 3401-position model. The record is from RNAcentral. Lineage: Eukaryota; Fungi.